AUUGAACGCUGGCGGCAUGCCUUACACAUGCAAGUCGAACGGCAGCACGGGAGCAAUCCUGGUGGCGAGUGGCGAACGGGUGAGUAAUAUAUCGGAACGUGCCCAGUCGUGGGGGAUAACGUAGCGAAAGCUACGCUAAUACCGCAUACGAUCUACGGAUGAAAGCGGGGGAUCGCAAGACCUCGCGCGGACGGAGCGGCCGAUGGCAGAUUAGGUAGUUGGUGGGAUAAAAGCUUACCAAGCCGACGAUCUGUAGCUGGUCUGAGAGGACGACCAGCCACACUGGGACUGAGACACGGCCCAGACUCCUACGGGAGGCAGCAGUGGGGAAUUUUGGACAAUGGGGAAACCCUGAUCCAGCCAUGCCGCGUGCAGGAUGAAGGCCUCGGGUUGUAACUGCUUUGUACGACGAAAGGUACCUUCUAAUAAGAAGGGACGUCAUGACGGUACCGUAACGAAUAAGACACCGGCUAACUACGUGCCAGCAGCCGCGGU
RNAcentral lists this ribosomal RNA (495 nucleotides) under uncultured bacterium. RNAcentral's name for it is "bacterial SSU rRNA". It matches the Rfam family "Bacterial small subunit ribosomal RNA", at positions 29 to 521 of the family's 1533-position model. The record is from RNAcentral.